Molecule: ribosomal RNA, 510 nt
Filed under: Triticum aestivum (bread wheat)
Lineage: Eukaryota; Viridiplantae; Streptophyta; Magnoliopsida; Poales; Poaceae
Description: partial small subunit ribosomal RNA
Source: RNAcentral
AAUCAGUUUAGAGGAUUACCCAAUGAAGACCCUCAUGAGCACAUUUGUAAUGUCUUGGAGUAUGCCAAUACUGUCCAGUACCAUGGCGUUUCCCAAGAUGCUAUCAAGUGUAUGCUGUUCACAUUCUCUCUCCGAGAUGCUGCUAAGGACUGGUACUAUUCUUUGCCAUCAAGAUCAUACACUUGGGGUGAUAUUUCGCAAGCUUUCCUACACAGAUAUUUUCCACUUUACGAGCAAGCUGCAAUUCAUGACCAGAUCCUCAGUUUUGCACAAGAUGGAAGUGAGAGCUUGUAUGCAGCUUGGGAGAGAUAUAAGUAUUUGCUUAGAAAAUGUCCUAAUCAUGGGCAAAAGGAUUGGUUAGUGCUCCAGAUAUUCUAUAGAGGGCUAACACAUGCUUCGAGAGAUCUUAUUGAUAUGUCCGCUGGUGGAACAAUCAUGAACAAGACCGUUGAGGGUGCAAUUAUUCUCAUUGAGAGCAUUUCCUUCCACCAAAUGCAAUGGGGUUAUUAA